This 204-nucleotide microRNA precursor is filed under the name Oryza glumipatula. Its description in RNAcentral is "MIR812 microRNA precursor family". It matches the Rfam family "MIR812 microRNA precursor family". Lineage: Eukaryota; Viridiplantae; Streptophyta; Magnoliopsida; Poales; Poaceae. The record is from Rfam by way of RNAcentral.
AUGUAUGGCACCGUUGACUUUUUAUCCAACGUUUGACCAUUCGUUUUAUUCAAAAACUUUAUGUAAUUAUCAUUUAUUUUAUUGUGACUUGAUUAAUCAUCAAAUGUUCUUUAAGUAUGAUAUAAAUAUUUUCAUAUUUGCAUAAAAAUUUUGAAUAAAACGAAUGGUUGAACGUUGGUUAAGAAGUCAACGGCGUUAUAUAUU